CAAUAGCGUAUAUUAAAGUUGUUGCAGUUAGAACGCUCGUAGUCGGAUUUCGGGGCGGGCCGACCGGUCUGCCGAUGGGUACGCACUGGUCGGCGCGUCCUUCCUUCCGGAGACCGUGCCUACUCUUAACUGAGCGGGGGCGGGAGACGGAUCGUUUACUUUGAAAAAAUCAGAGUGUUUCAAGCAGGCAGCUCGCUCUUACAUGGAUUAGCAUGGGAUAAUGAAAUAGGACUUUGGUGCUAUUUUGUUGGUUUCGAACACCGAAGUAAUGAUUAACAGGGACAGUCAGGGGCACUCGUAUUCCGCCGAGAGAGGUGAAAUUCUCAGACCAGCGGAAGACGAACUACUGCGAAAGCAUUUGCCAGGGAUGUUUNCACUG
Molecule: ribosomal RNA, 379 nt
Filed under: uncultured eukaryote
Lineage: Eukaryota
Description: partial 18S ribosomal RNA
Rfam family: Eukaryotic small subunit ribosomal RNA
Source: RNAcentral